GACGAACGCUGGCGGCGCGCUUAAUACAUGCAAGUCGAGCGAGAACCAGUCCUUCGGGACUGGGGAAAGCGGCGAACGGGUGAGUAACACGUGGGUAAUCUGCCCUCGGCACUGGGAUAGCCCGGGGAAACCCGGAUUAAUACCGGAUAGCCUUUCGAGCCUUCGGGCUCGUCAGAAAAGGUGGCUUCGGCUUCCGGCUGAGGAUGAGCCCGCGGCGGAUUAGCUUGUUGGUGAGGUAAUGGCUCACCAAGGCUCCGAUCUGUAGCUGGUCUGAGAGGACGAUCAGCCACACUGGGACUGAGACACGGCCCAGACUCCUACGGGAGGCAGCAGUAGGGAAUCUUGCACAAUGGGCGCAAGCCUGAUGCAGCGACGCCGCGUGAGGGAUGACGGCCUUCGGGUUGUAAACCUCUUUCAGCAGGGACGAAGCGAAAGUGACGGUACCUGCAGAAGAAGGACCGGCCAACUACGUGCCAGCAGCCGCAGUAAAAC
RNAcentral lists this ribosomal RNA (492 nucleotides) under uncultured bacterium. RNAcentral describes it as "bacterial SSU rRNA". It matches the Rfam family "Bacterial small subunit ribosomal RNA", at positions 28 to 526 of the family's 1533-position model. The record is from RNAcentral.